GGUAUUGGCUGGGGCUGGGCUGGACUUAUCUGGCUUUACAGCAUUGUUUUCUUCUUCCCGCUGGACGUUUUCAAGUUCGCCAUCCGCUAUAUCUUGAGUGGAAAGGCUUGGGACAAUCUUCUCCAGAACAAGACUGCUUUCACUAGCAAGAAGAAUUACGGUAAAGAGGAGAGGGAGGCACAGUGGGCAUUGGCACAAAGAACACUGCACGGCCUCCAGCCCCCAGAAACCUCGGGUGUCUUCAACGACAAGAGCAGCUACCGGGAACUCUCAGAGAUUGCUGAGCAAGCGAAACGACGAGCGGAGGUUGCAAGGUUGCGAGAGCUGCACACACUGAAGGGUCAU
This 345-nucleotide unclassified non-coding RNA is filed under the name Hevea brasiliensis (rubber tree). The record is from RNAcentral. Lineage: Eukaryota; Viridiplantae; Streptophyta; Magnoliopsida; Malpighiales; Euphorbiaceae.